GCCAGCGUAGCUCAGAGGCAGAGCAGUGCUUUCGUAAAGCAAAGGUCGUGGGUUCAAUUCCCACCGCUGGCU
This 72-nucleotide transfer RNA is filed under the name Candidatus Harrisonbacteria bacterium CG10_big_fil_rev_8_21_14_0_10_40_38. Its description in RNAcentral is "tRNA-Thr". It matches the Rfam family "tRNA". From Rfam's summary of the family: Transfer RNA (tRNA) molecules are approximately 80 nucleotides in length. Their secondary structure includes four short double-helical elements and three loops (D, anti-codon, and T loops). The record is from RNAcentral. Lineage: Bacteria; Candidatus Harrisoniibacteriota.